This 760-nucleotide ribosomal RNA is filed under the name uncultured Bacteroidota bacterium. Its description in RNAcentral is "bacterial SSU rRNA". It matches the Rfam family "Bacterial small subunit ribosomal RNA", at positions 116 to 872 of the family's 1533-position model. The record is from RNAcentral. Lineage: Bacteria; Pseudomonadati; Bacteroidota.
CGUAUGCAACCUACCUUUUACUAGAGUAUAGCCCAGAGAAAUUUGGAUUAAUCCUCUAUAACAUCUUUUAAUUUCAUGAUUUUAAGAUUAAAGUUUUAACGGUAAAAGAUGGGCAUGCGUCCUAUUAGUUUGUAGGUGAGGUAACGGCUCACCUAGACUACGAUAGGUAGGGGCCCUGAGAGGGGGAUCCCCCACACUGGUACUGAGACACGGACCAGACUCCUACGGGAGGCAGCAGUAAGGAAUAUUGGACAAUGGACGAAAGUCUGAUCCAGCCAUGCCGCGUGCAGGAUGACAGCCCUACGGGUUGUAAACUGCUUUUAUACAGGAAGAAACACUCCGACGUGUCGGAGCUUGGCGGUACUGUAAGAAUAAGGAUCGGCUAACUCCGUGCCAGCAGCCGCGGUAAUACGGAGGAUCCAAGCGUUAUCCGGAAUCAUUGGGUUUAAAGGGUCCGCAGGCUGUUUUUUAAGUCAGAGGUGAAAUCCUACAGCUCAACUGUAGAACUGCCUUUGAUACUGGAAAACUUGGGUUAUUGUGAAGUGGUUAGAAUGUGUGGUGUAGCGGUGAAAUGCAUAGAUAUCACACAGAAUACCGAUUGCGAAGGCAGAUCACUAACAAUAUACUGACGCUCAUGGACGAAAGCGUGGGGAGCGAACAGGAUUAGAUACCCUGGUAGUCCACGCCGUAAACGAUGGAUACUAGCUGUUCGUCUAACAUUGGUUAGAUGAGUGGCUAAGCGAAAGUGAUAAUAUCCCAC